CAUCCUUUUCAUCCUCAAUGGCCAUGAGAUUUAGAUAGGAAAUUAGGGCAUAUGUUUUUUGUUACUGCAGUAAAAUUAGAAUUUGCAUUACCUACAUAUCUCCCUUGAGCGCUAAUUUUUUUUUCAGUUUCUUGAUGUUUCUGGGAAUAUUUUUCAUCCUCAGAAACACUUCAACUAUUGUCCCUCACGCCUGUUAUUUUCUUCUGAUGGCAUUAAGUCAGCCUCCAAAAUCAAAGUACAGCCAUGUGGCAAGUCAAAAAGAAGCCAGAAACAUGUAAAUGGCAGAGGAAUAACAUUUUGGAAGGAAGGCUGCAGGGAUGCAGAGCUGGGGAGUGACAGCUAUGGUGAUUUGGUUUUUCCUAUAAAUGGUUUAAAAAAAUCCUAGAUUAGAUUUUACUAAUGAAACAGAACAGAGUCCUCAGCAAUAAUGCCACAUAUCUACAACUAUCUGAUCUUUGACAAACCUGACAAAAACAAGAAAAUGUUUAUUUUUUCUAUUAUGAAAGUAAUACAUGUUGAUGGUAGAAAAGCUGUAAAAGUUCCACAGUGUUUUGUUCCACAUUACUUGAUAUCAUUUGUGCAAUGAGCUCUCACCCAUCCCUACUGCAACAGACUCUUAGUGUGUUGGUUCUGGAAGGCUUCCAUUUGCCGCAGAACCACAAACCUCAGUUACUUGACUUUCCUAUUGUUUUGCAACUUCUGUGCUAUGUCAUGGGCUGGAUGUCAAUGGGUGGCAUAGUAAGUGGUUCAUUUCAAAUGCCUAUUAAUACCUACUUUUCUUUUUAGGCUGUCUCCAUUCAAUAUUUAUUCUUAAUUGUCUAGCCUUAUAUUGUUUAAUUUUGUUAGAAUCUUAAAGCCUUCUGCAAGUUGGUGAGAUCCACCUGCUGAGUAAAUUCUCAUUUUUCUCUGUUGUUAUCAGCUCCCUGGCUACCUUUCUCUUCUGUAUAGUUCAGUUCACCUUCAUGGGUGUCUUUAACAUGACAUGAAAAUAGGGCCAUUCACUCUGCUGUCUGCAGUAGGCAAGGAGCUUUGAAAGACAAGCACACUAAUGAAAGUAGAAGACAUUGACCCUACUCUCAAAAAAAUGUGAAAGUUAGUUGAGAAGAUUAAACACACACUGUCCCUCCUUCCUCCGCCUACACACAUACCCACACACACACACACACACACACACCCUGACACAAUGGGAAGGCACUUCUGAAGUUUCAGAUGAAUUCCAUUCAACAAGCACCCUCAGAGUUUGUGCUUAUGCCAAGCAUUGUGCCUGGUUUUGGAGAUGUGAAAGUUAACAAAGACAGGUUUCUUACCUUGGAAGGCUACUGUGUAGGUGGGAACACACCUAAAGUUGAUCAUUGUGGCAGUGGACUACUGAAAGUGAUCUGAUGAAGAUGGCUUAGGGUGCUUGUGUAUGAGAGAGGUAUCAGAGAGUCUUUCUUGAGGAAACCACAUCUGGAAAGAGGAGGAGGUGCUAAGCUUGAUUGGAGAGUGGUAUUUCAGGCAGAGGAAAGAGCAUAAAUAAACACACUGAAGAGAUGGGGGAUGGUGGACAACAAGUAUUUAACUAUUGCCUCCACAAGGAGGGUCAGAGAUGGAGCUGGAAGGAAGGAGCUGGAAGGAAGGAGCAGUGGAAUCGUGGAAGGCUUUGGAAAGCAUACUGAAGAUCUGUUGGGUAGUCUAAGGUUUGGUGCGUUGAACAUUGACUUGGGAGCCAGACUGAUUUGGUUUGAUUCUCAGCUAUACCAUCAUUUUUUGCAUGCUUAGGCUAAUUUUUUUAACCUCUCUGCGUCUCCUUUUUUUCAUCUGUAAAAUGGGGACAGUAACAUACACUUUACAGUUGCAACAAUAUAAGUUGCAAGGAUCACAGCAAAUAUAUGUAAAACACCUAACACAUGAGCAGGCAUACAGUGGCUACCCAAUAAAUGGUAGCAAAGUUUUGAAGCAGAUUAGCCUGGUCAGAUAGGAACGGGUGCAGAAAAAUAGAUCAAGGCCGUGGGUGUUAGUGCUAAAGUUAUGAGGUGUUACAGAGUGCUUAGGAAGGCAUUGAUCAGGCCAAUCCUAGGCAACUAUGGGUUGGAGUAGUUAUCUUAGGAACCAAGGGAGGUUCUUUUCUUUUCUGGCAGAGACCCAGUCCUCAACCUGUUCGUGUAUGAACAAGUUCAUAGGAACCAAGGCUCAUACAUGUUAGCUCUACCUCCAGCCCUAAUCCACCUUGCUACUUGUGCUUUUCACUAGAUUGAGUUCAUCAGCACAAGGAGAAUAGGCUGUUCUCUCCCCGCGUUUUCAUAUACCUGUUGUUUGGCAUGUUCUAGGCUCAACCUCUCCAGAAUUGUCCUCUAUGUGUUUGACAGUUAAACUUCUUGUAAAUAGCAUUGAGUUUGCAGCUAGUCACACAAAAUAUACCAAAUGCAGAGAAGGAUGUAUAGAAAAUUGUGAGGCAUUCUCAAGACACCAUUCACAGAAAAUACGAAGAUUGGUACAACUAAAGAAGAAGGAACCCUUGGGGCAGAUUUCAGGAGAGCCUAGGGUGAGCUAGGGAGUGUGAUGGAAUCAGUGGUGGUGGAGGAGGAAGUACAAAUACAAGGCUGUCUCUUUUAUUGCCCAAAUCCUCCUUGUAUUCUUUUCCCUUUCUGCCUUUUUUCCCUUUGCCCCUCCAAGAACACUCAAGCUAAAGGCUUGGCAAGCCCUGUCUGUACUACACAACAGAAGCCU
RNAcentral lists this long non-coding RNA (2709 nucleotides) under Homo sapiens (human). RNAcentral's name for it is "non-protein coding lnc-MTFR2-3:1". The record is from RNAcentral. Lineage: Eukaryota; Metazoa; Chordata; Mammalia; Primates; Hominidae.